AGUCCCGGCUCAGCGUCUGCCCCGGAGAGGCUGCAAGGCAAGAGGAGCAGCGGCGUUAAUCUGCUGAGGGCUGAGAGAAACGUGAGCGUUACCCUGGGCUGGCCCCUUGGCUGCUCUCCCUUACUACGGAGCUGGAAGGUGGCCCCUGACUUCUUUGCAAAGGCCGUAGGCAAGCACCCAAAGCAUAUCAUCAGGUGCCCACAAGGCACAGGACACCGGGCCGACACCUGGAGCUGGGGUGAGGCCUCCUUCAUGCCAGGCCUGGACCAUGAAGAGGAAACCACUUUCUGUCCCCAAGGAGCUCAAGUCUGAUGGGGAAGGAGCCACUGGAGUGGACGGAGUCAGGGCCUGGGAUGCCAACCACAGGACCCAGCUCUGUCAGCGAAGCAGAAAGGUUGUGCCUGGUCUCCCUGCGUCCCAGGCCAAUCCCUCCUCCUGGGUGUGUGAUCUUUGCCUGCUGAAUCCUGUCUUCCAGUUAGCCCGCGAGCUCAGGGAGUCUUCUCUGCAUGUACAGUUAUCUACUCUGUGGGGCAGGACUGUGUGGAAGGGAAACGGAGGCUGCGUGGGAGCCUGGAAGAGGAGGGUGGCACCUAGGCUAUUCCCUCUGCCAGGGAAUUCCUUCGCCCUCGUUCAGAAAACAUCUACCCAUUCGGGGUGGCUCAUGGACAGGGACUCCCAGCACUGAGCACCCAGCAGGGGCAGAGAGGUGUCUGCUGGCUGAGUGAAUGACCCUGACCAAAUGGGAAGAGAGACGCCUUCCUGGCCUGGGGGCACUGAGAUGCUGAAGCCUGGCCGCGUGGGGGUCGUCAUCAGCUGAGUCUGCGGUCCCCUGUGGUCACACAGGACCAGGUCCUCCUAGACUCCACAGCCCCCGGCCCAGGGAUGAGGAAGGUGCUGCUCGGCCCACCAUGGGCCACAGCCUUCCUGCUCAGCUCAGCCUCGGUGAUGAAUAACGCUGCCCCUGCUGUGCCACUUCCGGGCUCUCUGGGCUCCCACACUCUGCUGUGGAGGCCCAGGCUGGCUCCCUCUCGGGGUGGGUGCUGCCUCUGGAGGGUGGAGGUGAGGGGAAGGGACUGAGGGUGGCCCUGCGGGGCCUUGAUGGAGCAGCAGUGGGGACCAUGCACCUCUGAGGGUCUGGGUGAGUGGGGGCUGCAGCCAGGCCUGGCUGGCCUGGGGGAUCAGGAGGGUCUGCAAACCAAGCUCUGGGGCUCCCUGAGGUUCCAGGAAGAACCCCGCCUGUCCCGGCAAAGGUGGAUCCAGGAGAGGAGUGGGCUUGGCCACCUCGGCUGCCACCAGAAGCUGCCCCCUCAGCUCCUAUCUGUUCCCCUCUGCCCCUGGAACUUCUGAAACCACUUCCCUCCUCCCUGGACUUCUGCAGGCCGAGGUAUGACUGUUCUGUCUCCCGUUAGCAAGGUCUGCAACAUUGCUCUGAGCAGCAUCCUCCAAUGUGGUGCACCUGUUCGACAGGGGUGCAAAGGUAGGUGCUGGGGUGGGGGCAGUCAUGGACUUGCUCCCCACUCCGAAAAGCUCUCACUCCUCAGGAAAGCUCUCAAAAGCAGAGCCUGCAUCUGACUAGUCUCUGCACCCCAGUGCCUGGCAUAGCUUCUGGCCUCAGGUAGGUUUCAGGUAAGGUCUGAAUGAGUGAUUGAGGGAAACAGGUGCUGGCUUGGAGAAGAUGCUGUGGGAUAGACGGCACUGAGCUGGGUCUUGAAUGGACAGGGUUUGAGCCACCAGCCAUGCAGGAAGGGCUAUCCACAAGCAGAGACUCAAGGUAGGGAAGCACAGAGUGACCAGGGAUGCUACAGUUGGGCCAGCUGGGUGCGGGACGAUGGAGGGAAGACGUCAAACAGGGAGGAGGAGAAAAAAAUAACGCAGAGAGGGGCAGGACCGUGGCAACAACUGAACUGAAGUGCUUUAGGCAUUUCCAGAAAUCCAGUGUUCUUCUUCCCUCGGCAGCGCCUACCAGGGAAAGCAAAAGCCUGCAAGCCUCAGUGCCUGGCCCGCUCCUGGCCUGGAAAGAGGAACAGAGGGAGGACGGCGGGGCUGGGUGGUCUCCCGAUCACAAGCAUACAUUUCCCAGGCAUCUGGGCAGUGAUGGAACUGUCAACCUGGAAGUCACCUCGAAGGAGAAAUGACCGUGUGCCUCAGAUAGAACAGACCCCGGGCCCCAGGGUGGAGCACGCACUAUCCAUGAACUCAGGGUCCUAGGGGUGGAGUCCAGGGCCCUGGGUGGCAGGGCCAGGAGGAGCAGCCGGGUCUACACAGGAUGGCACCGUGCAGUGGUGGUGACGCUGAGCAGGGCCUGGUGAGCACUUGCUGGGUGAUCACCACGUGCUGGCGCUGGCACUGGCACUUCACAGUCCUCAUUGCUUUUGAGUUUUGGGAGAGGUGCAGUGAGGUGACCUGCCCAGAGGAGGGAGGCUGAUCUGAUCUGACAUCUGCCAUAGGCCUGUCCUGUCUCACAUUGGUUCCUGGCCUGUGUACUGGGCUCACCUGGAGGCUUUAAAAACAUACUGAGGCUCAGGCUUCACCCCACAAGUUUCUGAUUCAAGAGUAUGUUUUUGCCUUUUUGUUCUCACUCCCAAAGUGUCCGGAUCUGUGCUCAGAGCGCAAAGAAAUUUACUGAAAAAAAUAAAAUUAAGGAACGACAGCUCAAAGAGCCAGCAAUUUAUGCAAAUGAAUGCAAAUAAAUACACACUUCCAUAC
Long non-coding RNA from Homo sapiens (human), 2706 nucleotides. The record is from Ensembl. NCBI's taxonomy places the organism in Eukaryota, Metazoa, Chordata, Mammalia, Primates, Hominidae.